This 253-nucleotide ribosomal RNA is filed under the name uncultured bacterium. Its description in RNAcentral is "partial 16S ribosomal RNA". It matches the Rfam family "Bacterial small subunit ribosomal RNA", at positions 524 to 776 of the family's 1533-position model. The record is from RNAcentral.
UACAUGGGGUGCAAACGUUGCUCGGAAUUAUUGGGCGUAAAGCGCACGUAGGCGGUCAUUUAAGUCGGAUGUGAAAGCCCUCGGCUUAACCGGGGAAGUGCAUCCGAAACUGAAUGGCUUGAGUACAGAAGAGGGUCGCGGAAUUCCCGGUGUAGAGGUGAAAUUCGUAGAUAUCGGGAGGAACACCGGUGGCGAAGGCGGCGACCUGGGCUGAUACUGACGCUGAGGUGCGAAAGCGUGGGGAGCAAACAGG